GCUGGGUGUGGUGGCGCAUGCCUGUAAUCCCAGCUACUUGGGAGGCUGAGGCAGGAGAAUCGCUUGAACCCAGGAGGUGGAGGUUGCAGUGAGCCAAGAUCACGCCACUGCAAGCAUCGAGUGACAGAGACUCUCUCUCUCAAAAAAAAAAAAAGGGGGCAUCAGAAGGAAAAAUGCAUUAUUAGCUCCUUUUUUUUUUUUUUUUUUUUUUGAGACAGAGUCUCGCUGUAUUGCCUAGGCUGGAGUGCAGUGGUGUGAUCUCAACUUACUGCAACCUCUGCCUCCUGGGUUCAAGCGAUUCUCCUGCCUCAG
Molecule: non-coding RNA, 312 nt
Filed under: Pan troglodytes (chimpanzee)
Lineage: Eukaryota; Metazoa; Chordata; Mammalia; Primates; Hominidae
Source: Rfam by way of RNAcentral